UCGAACGGGUGCUCUUCCACCGAAACUCAAAGGACAUUCGCUCGAAUAAUUUUACUUCCUCCGUCGUAUGAAUUCGUACGAGUUCCUUCGAGCCUUGUUACACACAAAACUAGGAAAAUGAAGUAUUGGAUCAUCUUGGCGAUUCCAUGUUUCUAACUUCUAUGGUUGACUUCGUGAUAAAUAGCCUGAACUUCGUUCUUGACAAAUGAGAUCGAUAUCAGUGCCAACGAAAUGUAUUGUCCGUGAAUGUAAUACUUUGGAUAAGAGCGUAAACUUGCUGAAUACAACAGAGUACGAACAUAUCGAUGGAUGGAUCAAAGCAUGUUUGUUUAUAACAAGAAAUUUCUAAUCGACAUAUAAAGAUUUGGGUGAAAAAGAUUUCUCUCGCUGGCCAACUGGUCCCAGGUGUGUACACUGGGAGCGUGGCAGACGCGUGCUUCUCCCCUCUUUAACCUCAGUCGAACGCAGUUGCUUUUACAUGCUUCUUCAUUCUUUCUAUAGGAUAUGAAAUCUUUGUAGAAGAAACAGAUCCUGAAAGUUAUCUGAGAUACGAAAACGCUUAUUUCACAGACAGAUAGAUGCAACGUGGAUGGAACAAAUCAAAUUAAAGUACGAAGGAAAAAUAGCGUAUACUUAGUAUCUAUUAAACACAGAUAAACAUAGAUCUUUACGAUCCAAGUCGUUUUAAGGUUAAAUAGAAACGCAUAAAUCAUGGAAGAGACAAAAGGAGAAGAAAUUUACACCUUUAUAAUGCAAAUUAAUAGCUCUUCCAAACAUUGCUAUCGAAAAGAAUAAUGAGCCUUGUUUUAGACAAUUAAGAGAAGAAGAACGUAGAAACUGGCCACGUAAGAUUUGCAUUUGAGAAAGGUGGUAAUUAUUUGCAACGGAAUAACGCAAUUAUCAAAUUGACCCUCGCACCCUCACAUAAUUACUCGCGACUUCAGGAUUUAAGUGGAUAAUCAUUGGGAAUUGGCGAACUGUUCGUUGAACGUUGAAAUUUGGCAAGCAUCAGAAUGUGGGGCGCCAGGUCGUCAAUGCGUACCAUGUAAUUUAUGUUGAAUGUAUGUAUACAUCUCACGUGGAUACUGGCGGUAGAUUUUAACGCUGAAUUUCGAAUUUAUUUUGCGUGAAUUUUUCACGAUAAUCUGUUUCCGCAUAAAAAUUUCAACCUAUCGUAAUACGAUAAUCGUGUCGUGCUUCAAUUGCGAAAAGAACAAUCGUGUUCCUAGUUAAAUUUCUUUAUGUUAGUCAAAGAAUUAGAUUCGUUUAAUUUCCUUUAUAUUUACACGGAAAUCUUCUAACGUGUGUAUUUUCUACAGGUAUCCCUUGCUUUCAAAUCUUUACGUAUAUUUUAAUUACACCUAUACGUAAUUUCAAGACACGUGCACAUUUUUCACUUUCAAGAUGUUAUUUAAUAUUAAUUGGUCGUUAUUAAAACAAAGUAUCGGAGAUUAAGGUUACCGAUGAGCGAAAAUUGACAGAGUUGGUGUAGUGGCAGCAACCUAACAGUAGGAGGAAAAUGAAAUUUUACUCUCAAUCAGAGAGCCACUCGAUCACACAGGAGGGUGCCAUAUUGUUACGUUCUAACCAUUCUCUUCUUCUUCUUUAUUUCUUUCUUCUUCCAUAAUCUUUUCCUCUGGUUUGGAUCAACUGUUGUUUUACGAGGACUCUUUAGCCUCGGCAGACGGCCCAUUGUAUCGCUUAUUUCAAUGCGCGGAUUGUUUUCAAAAAGAAAGCACGAUUGUUUCAUCUUUUUCUUUUUUUUUUUAGCUUCCUCCUCUUUGAUGUUCUGCUAUUUACCGAUAGUAGCGUAUCGAAUGUACGGCUAUUAAGAAUCUAUGAAAUUGUUAAUGAUAGUUUUAGAAAGGAAAUGCACGAAAUCUUAACUUUCAGCGAGAAUCGUAAGACACCUUGUUCUUUAACAUCUUGCGAGACAGUUGCGCGAUGGUGAUUUCUGAAAUUUUUUCAAUUUCUGCUGUUUGUCGUUUACGUUUCGAGAAAUUCUUCAACGAAACGAUGGUACAAAUCGUUUUUGCCUGUCGUAAUACGAAUCACUGGAAUGGUUCGGGCCACCAUGAUUUCGAAGCUAUUUUCUACGUGGGUCGUUCGAGGCUUCUGGAAAUCAAUUUUUCCCCUCUGGCGCCAAUUAACCAGAAUUUUCUCAACUUCGACGUAGGUCCUUUGGUGCAUGGUAGUUUCAAACUUUAACUUUGGGAAAGUUAAUCGCUCCUUCCGUUUUUCUUUUGCCUCGCUUCAGUUCAGCCAAUAUAAUUUGUCGAAUUCAUUCUCAUGUCCACGUGAUCUAUCAUCGUAUCAAGGACGAAAAAACGCAUUAAAACAAUGCAUUUUCUCUUUGGUUAUUUCGUACUUGAAAUAUUUUUGAAAUAAAUGCUUCGUUUACUUUUAUUUUUCAUAUUAUCUUUUAUUUUCCAAAGUCUGCUUGAAUAGAUAUAGCAGAGUAAUGAUAUCAUAAAUCUUAAUGAAGCAAAGUUAUUAGUAGACACAUUCGUAGAAGCAUCGUGAAUUUAUCUGAAGUUUCUAAUUUGGCCUUCCAUUCAAUACGAUGGGAAGAAUAUAAUCGGCUUAUAUACAUUUAGUUGAAUAAAUCCAGGAAAAUGUGCCUACUAUCUUUUUCUCCUUCUACCUAUUUAUCUCCUUUUGAACAAAUUGAUGCACAGUCGUCGCGACGAGACGAAAGUUGCACAAAAGCUUAAAUCACGAUAGACCGUGGAUACCGGCUAGUUAGGAGAGUUUUGAUGAAUCCUAAUCUUGUGAAAUAUAUGCGUGAAUAACGAGCCACGACGGCCAUGGUGCGUUUGAAUUAAAACAUAUUAUCCUUGUCUAUCCUACCGACUAAUAUCUACUAAAUGGCGACUAAUACCAAUCCUAUUCAUACGGAUGAUAUGCUUCAAUGUGACGUUUACUUUUAUAUACUAGAAUGUCAUAAUCUGACGCCAUCCACGCAGCUUCAUCAUCUUUUAACAUAUUUAGUAUCAGACAGUUAACGUUUAACAGAUCAGAGACUCGAGCGAAAUCUUUGUAAAACGGAAGAAUUCCUUUCUUUUUCCAAUUCGAUUAUUCCUUCCAUGCUCCGUUUAACGUUAACUAAUUAGAAUAUAAUUGGAAUAUUUAUAUAACUUGACUUAAUUUAAUUUAACUUAAUUUAUAUAACUUAAAUUCGAUCGUAGUAUAUGAUACGGUAAAAGAUAAAAAAGCAAAAGUGUUGGUAGUUCGGUUUCAGUCGAAAGUCGUGGGAACCGUUUUGAUAGAAUAGGAGAACGGACGACGUAGGAAGGUAGGAGAAGGAAACGAAGAAUCUUGGUGGAAGAUACAAAAGGGAAAAGAGAAGAAAGGGAAGGAAGGUAAAGCCGAGCAAAGUUUGAACGAUGGGAUGAGAUCGUUGGUUCUGAUUCCAAGCAAAAAUUCGUGAUACAAUGCGAGCGUUUUCAUUCCAAAUAACGUAAAUUCAAUGUAUAUCCUGUUUUAUUUACGAACUUCGAUUAACGACAUAUCGUUGUAUUUAACUACUUGCUCUCUACAACCUGCUUACUCGCAACGUUAAAUAAAAUUAUAAUUGCAAUAAAAUUACAGUUGUUUAUUCGGAAAAGCAUAGAAAUUUCAAAUAAUAAUCAUAAAAUUGUACGAUUAUAACGUUAUAACAGAAUUCCUGUCCAACUUACUAAAUAU
Bombus impatiens (common eastern bumble bee) is the source of this 3687-nucleotide long non-coding RNA. RefSeq lists it as uncharacterized. The transcript is spliced from 4 exons. The record is from RefSeq and is a predicted model, not a curated record. Lineage: Eukaryota; Metazoa; Arthropoda; Insecta; Hymenoptera; Apidae.